CAACAAGCCUGUAAUCGGUACGGGUUGUGGGAGCAAGAGCCCGGAGAUGGAUUCUGAGACAUGAAUCCAGGCCCUACGGGGCGCAGCAGGCGCGAAAACUUUACAAUGCGGGAAACCGUGAUAAGGGAACCCCGAGUGCCCGUAGAAUCGGGCUGUUGAUCUGUGUAAAAAGCAGGUAAAGAAAGGGCCGGGCAAGACCGGUGCCAGCCGCCGCGGUAAUACCGGCGGCUCGAGUGGUGGCCACUAUUACUGGGCUUAAAGCGUUCGUAGCUGGGUUGUUAAGUCUCUUGGGAAAUCCACCGGCUCAACCGAUGGGCGACCAGGGGAAACUAGCAUUCUAGGGACCGGGAGAGGUGAGAGGUACUCCAGGGGUAGGAGUGAAAUCCUGUAAUCCUUGGGGGACCACCGAUGGCGAAGGCAUCUCACCAGAACGGCUCCGACAGUGAGGAACGAAAGCUGGGGGAGCAAACCGGAUUAGAUACCCGGGUAGUCCCAGCUGUAAACGAUGCGCGUUAGGUGUAUCGGUGACCACGAGUUACCGAGGUGCCGAAGGGAAACCGGAAACGCGCACUUGACUUG
RNAcentral lists this ribosomal RNA (579 nucleotides) under uncultured archaeon. RNAcentral describes it as "bacterial SSU rRNA". It matches the Rfam family "Archaeal small subunit ribosomal RNA", at positions 250 to 835 of the family's 1478-position model. The record is from RNAcentral.